CCCCGCCAUCCAGGAGACACCCACAGCAUAUGUGGCUUUCUCUGGGGCAGGCCCCAGCCUGGAAGACACUGGAGACUUCCUCUCCAGGUGACAAGGAGCAGCUGAAGGAUGCGUCUCCCAGCAAGACUGACAUGCGACAGACACGUCGAAAUGGAAAGGAAGGUCGUGAGCCCUGGGUGGCCACGCCAGGGCAGAGCAGGCACCGAGGAACAAGUGGUUCCCGCAAAGGAGACGAUUGGGCUUUCAAGAGGGCAGAGCUCAGGGCCUCACCUCCAUCAGGGGCUGAAGCAGUGAAUUAAAAAUGCAUGCCCAGAGGAGAGUAGCUGUGACCACUUCUGCCAGCACUUUUGGUUGCAUCAUUAAUAAAGACAUAUUGUUGCAGAUAAAGCUCAGACCACAGGACAGUAGGUGACAAGGGGGAUGGCAGGCAGGGG
This is a long non-coding RNA of Cebus imitator (Panamanian white-faced capuchin), 434 nucleotides long. RefSeq lists it as uncharacterized. The transcript has 3 exons. Lineage: Eukaryota; Metazoa; Chordata; Mammalia; Primates; Cebidae. The record is from RefSeq and is a predicted model, not a curated record.